RNAcentral lists this ribosomal RNA (1439 nucleotides) under human gut metagenome. Its description in RNAcentral is "bacterial LSU rRNA". It matches the Rfam family "Bacterial large subunit ribosomal RNA", at positions 1408 to 2925 of the family's 2925-position model. The record is from RNAcentral.
GGCGUAGCCGAUGCACAGACGGUAGAGAUUCCGUCACCACCAAAAGAGUUAAGCACAGGGACACAUUUGAAGUCUCAGAGCCGGGUGUUGGUUCCGGUAGAGAUCGAGGGAAAUUAGUACCGAAGUCUGAGAUGGAAGAUGGCGAGAAAAGCUGUGUGUAUUUCUGAGGUGCCCGUACCGCAAACCGACACAGGUAGGUAGGAAGAAGAUUCUAAGGCCAACGGGAGAAGGGUUGUUAAGGAACUCGGCAAAUUGACCCCGUAACUUCGGGAGAAGGGGUGCUCCAGAGAUGGAGCCGCAGAGAAUCGGCCCAAGCAACUGUUUACCAAAAACACAGGUUUGUGCUAAAUCGAAAGAUGACGUAUACGAGCUGACGCCUGCCCGGUGCUGGAAGGUUAAGAGGAGAUGUGCAAGCAUUGAAUCGAAGCCCCAGUGAACGGCGGCCGUAACUAUAACGGUCCUAAGGUAGCGAAAUUCCUUGUCAGGUAAGUUCUGACCCGCAUGAAAGGCGUAAUGAUUUGGGCACUGUCUCAACAGCCCGCCCGGCGAAAUUGUAGUACCGGUGAAGAUGCCGGUUACCCGCGACAAGACGGAAAGACCCCAUGGAGCUUUACUGUAGCCUAAUAUUGGGUUUCGAUGUUGCAUGCACAGGAUAGAUGGGACACAGGGAAACAAGAGCUUUGGCUUCUGCGGAGUGGCCGUUGGGAUACCAUCCUUGCGAUAUUGGAAUUCUAACCUGCGGCUCUGAAUCGAGUCGGGGGACAUUGUUAGGUGGGCAGUUUGACUGGGGCGGUCGCCUCCUAAAGAGUAACGGAGGCGUUCAAAGGUUCGCUCAGCUUGAACGGAAAUCAAGCAAAAGAGUGCAAACGCAGAAGCGAGCCUAACUGCGAGACUGACGGGUCGAGCAGUAACGAAAGUUGGAGUUAGUGAUCCGGUGGUAUGUGAGUGGAAAUGCCAUCGCUCAACGGAUAAAAGUUACCCUGGGGAUAACAGGCUGAUCUCCCCCAAGAGUCCACAUCGACGGGGAGGUUUGGCACCUCGAUGUCGGCUCAUCGCAUCCUGGGGCUGUAUUCGGUCCCAAGGGUUUGGCUGUUCGCCAAUUAAAGCGGUACGCGAGCUGGGUUCAGAACGUCGUGAGACAGUUCGGUCCCUAUCUGUCGUGGGCGCAGGAUAUUUGAUGGGAGCUGUCCCUAGUACGAGAGGACCGGGACGGACGUACCUCUGGCGCACCAGUUGUUCCGCCAGGAGCAUAGCUGGGCAACUACGUACGGAUCGGAUAAACGCUGAAAGCAUCUAAGCGUGAAGCCGACCCAAAGAUAAGAUAUCCCAUUGUUUUAAACAAGUAAGACCCCUUGAAGACUACAAGGUUGAUAGGCACGAUGUGUAAGUGGAGUGAUCCAUUCAGCAAGCGUGUACUAAUAGGUCGAGGGCUUGACCAC